Molecule: ribosomal RNA, 973 nt
Filed under: Acinetobacter halotolerans
Lineage: Bacteria; Pseudomonadati; Pseudomonadota; Gammaproteobacteria; Moraxellales; Moraxellaceae
Description: bacterial SSU rRNA
Rfam family: Bacterial small subunit ribosomal RNA
Source: RNAcentral
CGCUGGCGGCAGGCUUAACACAUGCAAGUCGAGCGGGGGAAGGUAGCUUGCUACUGGACCUAGCGGCGGACGGGUGAGUAAUGCUUAGGAAUCUGCCUAUUAGUGGGGGACAACAUUCCGAAAGGGAUGCUAAUACCGCAUACGUCCUACGGGAGAAAGCAGGGGAUCACUUGUGACCUUGCGCUAAUAGAUGAGCCUAAGUCGGAUUAGCUAGUUGGUGGGGUAAAGGCCUACCAAGGCGACGAUCUGUAGCGGGUCUGAGAGGAUGAUCCGCCACACUGGGACUGAGACACGGCCCAGACUCCUACGGGAGGCAGCAGUGGGGAAUAUUGGACAAUGGGGGGAACCCUGAUCCAGCCAUGCCGCGUGUGUGAAGAAGGCCUUAUGGUUGUAAAGCACUUUAAGCGAGGAGGAGGCUACUUUGGUUAAUACCCGGAGAUAGUGGACGUUACUCGCAGAAUAAGCACCGGCUAACUCUGUGCCAGCAGCCGCGGUAAUACAGAGGGUGCGAGCGUUAAUCGGAUUUACUGGGCGUAAAGCGUGCGUAGGUGGCUAAUUAAGUCAAAUGUGAAAUCCCCGAGCUUAACUUGGGAAUUGCAUUCGAUACUGGUUAGCUAGAGUAUGGGAGAGGAUGGUAGAAUUCCAGGUGUAGCGGUGAAAUGCGUAGAGAUCUGGAGGAAUACCGAUGGCGAAGGCAGCCAUCUGGCCUAAUACUGACACUGAGGUACGAAAGCAUGGGGAGCAAACAGGAUUAGAUACCCUGGUAGUCCAUGCCGUAAACGAUGUCUACUAGCCGUUGGGGUCUUUGAGACUUUAGUGGCGCAGCUAACGCGAUAAGUAGACCGCCUGGGGAGUACGGUCGCAAGACUAAAACUCAAAUGAAUUGACGGGGGCCCGCACAAGCGGUGGAGCAUGUGGUUUAAUUCGAUGCAACGCGAAGAACCUUACCUGGCCUUGACAUAGUAGAAACUUU